This 89-nucleotide ribosomal RNA is filed under the name Enterococcus faecalis. Lineage: Bacteria; Bacillati; Bacillota; Bacilli; Lactobacillales; Enterococcaceae. The record is from RNAcentral.
CCUGUUCCCAUGCCGAACACAGAAGUUAAGCUUCUUAGCGCCGAUUGUAGUGAAGGGUUUCCCUUUGUGAGAGUAGGACGUCGCCACGC